Molecule: ribosomal RNA, 483 nt
Filed under: uncultured bacterium
Lineage: Bacteria
Description: partial 16S ribosomal RNA
Rfam family: Bacterial small subunit ribosomal RNA
Source: RNAcentral
GACGAACGCUGGCGGCGUGCUUUACACAUGCAAGUCGAACGGUGAAGGUGGAGCUUGCUCCGCCGGAUCAGUGGCGAACGGGUGAGUAACACGUGGGCAACCUGCCCCUAACUUUGGGAUAACUACUCGAAAGAGUAGCUAAUACCGGAUAUGAAGUCUGUAGGCAUCUACGGACUUGGAAAGUUUUUCGGUUAGGGAUGGGCCCGCGGCCUAUCAGCUUGUUGGUGAGGUAGUGGCUCACCAAGGCGACGACGGGUAGCGGGCCUGGGAGGGCGACCGGCCACACUGGGACUGAGACACGGCCCAGACUCCUACGGGAGGCAGCAGUGGGGAAUAUUGCGCGAUGGGCGAAAGCCUGACGCAGCAACGCCGCGUGCGGGAUGAAGGCCUUCGGGUUGUAAACCGCUUUCAGCAGGGAAGAAGCGAAAGUGACGGUACCUGCAGAAGAAGUACCGGUUAACUACGUGCCAGCAGCCGCAGUAA